Molecule: non-coding RNA, 1319 nt
Organism: Peromyscus maniculatus bairdii (prairie deer mouse)
Lineage: Eukaryota; Metazoa; Chordata; Mammalia; Rodentia; Cricetidae
Source: RefSeq, a predicted model, not a curated record
UAAAACCGGCUGCAAACCCUCAAAACGUGGCCAGGACUUCCUACUCUGCUGGAGAAGGAUUGAUGAAUGAGCAGAGUGUGUUGAGCUUAGAUUGUCCUCAGGCAGGGGGAAUGUGGAUUGUUCUCGUAUCUACUUAAAGAGUCUCUUUGAGCAGCUAAAGCAGCCUUAGUAACAAAUACUCCAAGACAGAACUCAAUGUGCUCAAACAUAAGGAACAAGAGGAAAGAGAAACAAUGAAUACAUUAUAGGCAAGGCUCUCAGACACGGACAAAUAAAGAAAGCAGCAAUCUUCUUGGAGCUAAAAAGAAAAGGGGGUUUGCUGUGAGGAGAAAGAAAAGCAUCCCUGAACGAGAAACAUUUUCCCAGCUGUGAGCUCAGGAGGUGUGGGGUUGGGGAGGAGGAACAGAGGGUACCGGGUAUCGGGGAGAGAACAUGGUUUACAGACCUUACCAUCAGAACCUCGAUUCAUAAAACAAAGCAAUCCACGUAGGGGACCUGCUUAACUUCACCUGUUGGAGAUGAUUUGCAUUUUCAAAUUGAAAACGGAUAAUCAAUGCCUAGAUACUUAAUUUAUUAAUGUGGCAGUUCCUAGAGCUCAAAGAAGCAUAACUCCAUGUCUAAGGAAUUUAUCUAUUUGAGGAAGAAAGAAAAAUCACAAAAAAAUGCCCAAGAAUUUUAGAGGAAGUAAAAGAAUGAAUCAACACCGAAGAGUCGGAAAAUGGUGCUCAGCCACCGUGAGGGCGUCUAGCUGUGUUCUGCUGCCUCCCUGGACUUCUGAGUCUCAGCCUCCUCAUAAAGGUCUUAAAAAUCAACGACCAAGUCAAACAAGCAAAUAAAUCCAAACAAAACAAAAGCCCUUAGGGAAAGUCCCCCAAAUCAGCUUGCUGCCUGGCCCUUGCGUCUGGACGUGCGCUAGAGGCUGUGGUCUUCUGAGAAAGACAGACCGCAACUCUUCAGACUGCAUUGGGAACGCAGCGAGGAUUCUCACCGUCUGUUGUCCUGUAAACGCUACCCUUGGGCCACUAAACCUCAAGGCGGUCUCUUUAUAAAACGGGAAUUGUGAGUUUUAAGAUUUUAUACAGCAUGUCUAUGCACUGUCUCCCUCCAUCUCCUUUCCAUUCUGUCUUUAUAAUUUGGGGCAACAGUAAAUUUGUAUCUUCUUUUGUAGUCUGAUGCCCAAGUAAUACAACUAACCAAUGUGGAGCCAGAUGAAACUCCAGGUAUCCAGGAAAGUACUAAGUGUGUGUAAUCGGAGGCUAGCAGCAGUGGUCAUCUCUGAGGAGGCUCACACAAGGCCCUUCAGUGAGGUUUAUUGGAAG